RNAcentral lists this ribosomal RNA (441 nucleotides) under uncultured bacterium. RNAcentral describes it as "partial 16S ribosomal RNA". It matches the Rfam family "Bacterial small subunit ribosomal RNA", at positions 338 to 795 of the family's 1533-position model. The record is from RNAcentral.
CCUACGGGAGGCAGCAGUGGGGAAUAUUGCACAAUGAGGGAAACCCUGAUGCAGCGACGCCGCGUGAGUGAAGAAGUAAUUCGUUAUGUAAAGCUCUAUCAGCAGGGAAGAAAAUGACGGUACCUGAGUAAGCAGCCCCGGCUAACUACGUGCCAGCCGCCGCGGUCAUACGUAGGGGGCAAGCGUUAUCCGGAUUUACUGGGUGUAAAGGGAGCGUAGACGGCAGUGCAAGUCUGGAGUGAAAGGCGGGGGCUCAACCCCCGGACUGCUCUGGAAACUGUACGGCUGGAGUGCAGGAGAGGUAAGUGGAAUUCCUAGUGUAGCGGUGAAAUGCGUAGAUAUUAGGAGGAACACCAGUGGCGAAGGCGGCUUACUGGACUGUAACUGACGUUGAGGCUCGAAAGCGUGGGGAGCAAACAGGAUUAGAUACCCCGAGUAGUC